AUCGAACGCUGGCGGCAGGCCUAAUACAUGCAAGUCGAGCGAGCGGCGGACGGGUGAGCAAUGUCUGGGAAACUGCCUGAUGGAGGGGGAUAACUAUUGGAAACGGUAGCUAAUACCGCAUACCAUCAGAUGUGCCAAGAUGGGAUUAGCUAGUAGGUGUGGUAACGGCCCACCUAGGCGACGAUCCCUAGCUGGUCUGAGAGGAUGACCAGCCACACUGGGACUGAGACACGGUCCAGACGCCUACGGGAGGCAGCAGUGGGGAAUAUUGCACAAUGGGCGCAAGCCUGAUGCAGCCAUGCCGCGUGUAUGAAGAAGGCCUUCGGGUUGUAAAGUACUUUCGGCAGAGAAGCGUUACCCGCAGAGAAAGCACCGGCUAACUCCGUGCCAGCAGCCGCGGUAAUUC
This 406-nucleotide ribosomal RNA is filed under the name uncultured bacterium. RNAcentral's name for it is "partial 16S ribosomal RNA". It matches the Rfam family "Bacterial small subunit ribosomal RNA", at positions 30 to 526 of the family's 1533-position model. The record is from RNAcentral.